Molecule: ribosomal RNA, 872 nt
Filed under: uncultured archaeon
Lineage: Archaea
Description: bacterial SSU rRNA
Rfam family: Archaeal small subunit ribosomal RNA
Source: RNAcentral
CAUGCUAGUCGCACGGAUUUAGAUCCGUGGCAGAUAGCUCAGUAACACGUGGCCAAACUACCCUAUGGACCAGAAUAACCUCGGGAAACUGAGGCUAAUGCUGGAUAGUCCUCUACCCCUGGAAUGGAUUGAGGUACAAACGCUCCGGCGCCAUAGGAUGUGGCUGCGGCCGAUUAGGUAGACGGUGGGGUAACGGCCCACCGUGCCAAUAAUCGGUACGGGUUGUGAGAGCAAGAGCCCGGAGACGGAAUCUGAGACAAGAUUCCGGGCCCUACGGGGCGCAGCAGGCGCGAAAACUUUACACUGCACGACAGUGCGAUAAGGGGACUCCGAGUGCGUGGGCAUAGUGCCCUCGCUUUUGUGAACCGUAGGGAGGUUCACGAAUAAGAACUGGGCAAGACCGGUGCCAGCCGCCGCGGUAACACCGGCAGUUCGAGUGAUGACCGAUUUUAUUGGGCCUAAAGCGUCCGUAGCCGGCCAGGCAAGUCUGUUGGGAAAUCUACUCGCUCAACGAGUAGGCGUCCAGCGGAUACUGCUUGGCUCGGGACCGAGAGACUCAAGGGGUACGUCUGGGGUAGGAGUGAAAUCCUGUAAUCCUGGACGGACCGCCGAUGGCGAAAGCACCUUGAGAGAUCGGAUCCGACGGUGAGGGACGAAAGCUGGGGUCACGAACCGGAUUAGAUACCCGGGUAGUCCCAGCUGUAAACGAUGCCAGUUAGGUUUGGCGCGGGCUACGAGCUCGUGCUGUGCCGCAGUGAAGACGAUAAACAGGCCGCCUGGGAAGUACGUCCGCAAGGAUGAAACUUAAAGGGAUUGGCGGGGGAGCACUACAACCGGAGGAGCCUGCGGUUUAAUUGGAUUCAACGCCGGAA